Molecule: ribosomal RNA, 195 nt
Filed under: uncultured bacterium
Lineage: Bacteria
Description: partial 16S ribosomal RNA
Rfam family: Bacterial small subunit ribosomal RNA
Source: RNAcentral
GCAACUCGACUGCAUGAAGCCGGAAUCGCUAGUAAUCGCGGAUCAGAAUGCCGCGGUGAAUACGUUCCCGGGUCUUGUACACACCGCCCGUCACACCAUGGGAGUCGGAAAUGCCCGAAGCCGGUGGCCUAACCGAUAAGGGAGGAGCCGUCGAAGGCAGGUCUGAUGACUGGGGUGAAGUCGUAACAAGGUAAC